AGCGAACGCUGGCGGCAGGCCUAAAACAUGCAAGUCGAACGCCGUAGCAAUACGGAGUGGCAGACGGGUGAGUAACACGUGGGAACGUGCCUUUUGGUUCGGAACAACCCAGGGAAACUUGGGCUAAUACCGGAUAAGCCCUUCGGGGAAGGAUUAUCGCCAGAAGAUCGGCCCGCGUCUGAUUAGCUAGUUGGUGGGGUAACGGCCCACCAAGGCUACGAUCAGUAGCUGGUCUGAGAGGANGAUCAGCCACACUGGGACUGAGACACGGCCCAGACUCCUACGGGAGGCAGCAGUUAGGAAUCUUGGACAAUGGGCGCAAGCCUGAUCCAGCCAUGCCGCGUGAGUGAUGAAGGCCUUAGGGUUGUAAAGCUCUUUCAGCGGGGAAGAUAAUGACGGUACCCGCAGAAGAAGCCCCGGCUAACUUCGUGCCAGCCGCCGCUGU
This 445-nucleotide ribosomal RNA is filed under the name uncultured bacterium. Its description in RNAcentral is "bacterial SSU rRNA". It matches the Rfam family "Bacterial small subunit ribosomal RNA", at positions 29 to 521 of the family's 1533-position model. The record is from RNAcentral.